This is a non-coding RNA of Octopus bimaculoides (California two-spot octopus), 106 nucleotides long. NCBI's taxonomy places the organism in Eukaryota, Metazoa, Mollusca, Cephalopoda, Octopoda, Octopodidae. The record is from Rfam.
GUAUUGCCAAAGUAAUAUAUAUACUAAAAUUGGAAUGAUGCAGAGAAGAUUGGUAUAGCUGCUGCUCAAGGAUGACACGCAUAUUCGUGAAGCGUUCCAUAUUUCU